This 465-nucleotide ribosomal RNA is filed under the name uncultured bacterium. Its description in RNAcentral is "partial 16S ribosomal RNA". It matches the Rfam family "Bacterial small subunit ribosomal RNA", at positions 28 to 507 of the family's 1533-position model. The record is from RNAcentral.
GACGAACGCUGGCGGCGUGCUUAACACAUGCAAGUCGAACGGAAAGGCCCUGCUUGCAGGGUACUCGAGUGGCGAACGGGUGAGUAACACGUGGGUGAUCUGCCCUGCACUUCGGGAUAAGCCUGGGAAACUGGGUCUAAUACCGGAUAGGAGCCAUUUUUAGUGUGAUGGUUGGAAAGUUUUUUCGGUGUAGGAUGAGCUCGCGGCCUAUCAGCUUGUUGGUGGGGUAAUGGCCUACCAAGGCGGCGACGGGUAGCCGGCCUGAGAGGGUGGACGGCCACAUUGGGACUGAGAGACGGCCCAGACUCCUACGGGAGGCAGCAGUGGGGAAGAUUGCACAAGGGGCGCAAGCCUGAUGCAGCGACGCCGCGUGGGGGAUGACGGCCUUCGGGUUGUAAACUCCUUUCGCUAGGGACGAAGCUUUUUGUGACGGUACCUAGAUAAGAAGCACCGGCUAACUACGUG